GAGAAUACAUUAAACCGAAUUUUGAAUUUGGGUCUGAUCAAAACUUACGUCAACAUUUAAGAUAUAAAAAUUAUUUUCCUUGUAUUUGCAAAACUUAGUGAUGAUAUUUAGCUUCAACAUUAUAUUUAUGCAAAUAAACUUAUAACAUACUCCUUUUUGCAACAUGCAUAUGUAUUCAUACACAGAUAAGCAAUCAUAGUAGGGGGAAUUUUAUAUACAGAUAUACUUAUAACCUAAAUUUUUUUUUUUUUUUUUGUCAUCUA
RNAcentral lists this long non-coding RNA (263 nucleotides) under Brassica rapa (field mustard). RNAcentral's name for it is "long non-coding RNA (BRAP_LNC000108)". The record is from RNAcentral. Lineage: Eukaryota; Viridiplantae; Streptophyta; Magnoliopsida; Brassicales; Brassicaceae.